This 2811-nucleotide ribosomal RNA is filed under the name Microgenomates group bacterium GW2011_GWF1_44_10. Its description in RNAcentral is "bacterial LSU rRNA". The stretch from base 5 to 2022 matches the Rfam family "Bacterial large subunit ribosomal RNA", at positions 15 to 2044 of the family's 2925-position model. The record is from RNAcentral. RNAcentral also lists the same sequence under 2 other names.
ACUCAGGCAAAUAGUGGAUGCCUUGGCAAUAUGUGCCGAAGAAGGACGCACAAGACCGCGAAAGUCGUCGGGAAGCUGUCACGAAGCAAUGAUCCGGCGGUGUCCGAAUGGGGCAACCUUUUCUGGGUUAUUCCAGAAAAUUUUUCUUUAUUGAAAAAGGGGCACGCACCAAACUGAAAUAUCUAAGUAGGUGCAGGAAAAGAAACCGUAUGGGAUUCCCUUAGUAAGCGACGAGCGAACAGGGAAUAGUCUAAACCAGCAUUAGCUGGGGUUGUAGGAGCCAAAUGUUCGAUGUGAAUUUGUAGCAGAACGCCAUGGAAUUGGCGACCAAAGAGCAUGAUAGUUGCGUAUGUUAAACGAAUUCACACGAUAUGGAUUUCCUAAGUACUUUCGGAGACGGCAAACUCCGGGAGGAAUCUGGGGCGACCACGCUCCAAGACUAAAUACGCAUAUUGACCGAUAGUGAACGAGUACCGUGAGGGAAAGGUGAAAAGAAGGGUGGAACACCCAGUGAAAUAGCAACUGAAACUAUUUGCUCACAAACAGACAGAGUCGGGUUAAACCGAUGAUGUCGUGCCUAUUGAAGAAUGAACCGGCGAGUUAUGGUGUACUCCGAGUGUAAGCUGUUGUCACAGCGGACGCGUAGUGAAAGCGAGCCUGAAUAGGGCGCUUAGGAGUUCACUAUAGACCCGAAACCAGGUGAGCUAACCAUGACCAGGUUGAAGGUAGGGUAAAACCUAUUGGAGGACCGAACCGUUCAGCGUUGCAAGGCUGUCGGAUGAGUUGUGGUUAGAGGUUAUAUGCCAAUCGAACCUGGAGAUAGCUGGUUCUCCCCGAAAUAUAUUUAGGUAUAGGCUCGUAUGAACCCUUCUGGGGGUAGAGCACUGGAUGGGUGUCCUCGGCGCAAGCCGAAGCAUCUAACCAAACUCCGAAUACCAGAAGGCGCUGUACGGGACUCAGAACGGCGGAGCUAAUUUCGCCGCUCAAAAGGGAAACAACCCAGACCAUCGUCUAAGGUCUCUAAACACAUCUCAGUGGUAAAGGUAGUCACAAUCCUCAGACACCUAGGAGGUCGGCUCAGAAGCAGCCAUCCUUGAAAGAAAGCGUAACAGCUCACUAGCCGAGGUUUAUGGCGCCGAAAACGUAUCGAGGCUCAAGUUGUGUACCGAAGACGUGGAUUUUAUUUCGAAAGAUGUAAAGUGGUAGGGGAGCGUUCUCCGUGCUGUGAAGGCGGCGGGUAACCGAUCUGCUGGAGCGAGGAGAAGUGCGAAUGCCGGUAUGAGUAGCGAUAAUGAAGUGAGAAUCUUCAUCUCCGAAUGUCCAAGGUUUCCGCACCCACGUUCGUCGUGUGCGGGUUAGGCGACCCUUAGGCGAGGCCGUUUGGCGUAGCUGAUGGAUUACCGGUUAAUAUUCCGGUCCUUGGUAUGUUUCGUUACGACUUGGGGAGGGACGGAAUCGGAUAGCGCAAACGCUCCGAUGAACGAGUCGUUGAACCGUCGAGACAGUUCCCGCAGGCAAAUCCACGGGGGCGUUUAUUCGAGACGGGACCACGAGCGCGAGGCGAAAGCCGAGCGCAAGUUGCGUGAUUUCAGUUUCCAAGAAAAGCUUCGCAAGCAGAAACAUGCCAAAUCGUACUGAUAACCGACACAGGUGGACUAGUCGAGUAGACUAAGGAGAGCGAGAGAACAUGGUUUAAGGAAUUCGGCAAAACAACUAGGCGUACCUUUGGAAGAUGCCUUCCUCUCCGCAAGGAGAGGCUCAGCGAAAGAUUUGAGGUCGACUGUUUAACAAAAACACAGGUCUGUGCAAACUCGAAAGAGGAAGUAUACGGGCUGAGGCCUGCCCAGUGCCGGAAGGUUAACUGCGAGAGUGGUAUCGCAAGAUACUGCUUUCAAUUGAAGCCCCGGUGAACGGCAGCAGUAACUAUAAAAACAUUGUAGUUAAAAAAGUUGGCUAUAUGCUGGAAACUCUCGAUAAGUUGUUUGUACUCAUUUGAUUUUUCGCAAGAUGAAUCAAAAAGUGAAAAUCAAACAAAUAGAGACAAUCAGCAGGGAAGUCUUGUUUAUAUGUUUAUAAACAUGAUCCCUCAGAGACUAUACGCCGACCUGUUUCUUAACAAGAAACAGAUGAUAUAGUCCGACCUUUAUGGAGACAUAAAGAUUGCGACAGAAAUGUUCGCAAAGCAUCCAUCAAAAAAGACGGAUGUAUCAACAAAUGUGAACUGUUCUAUGGUUAAGGGUAAAAACCGUUGCCAUAGUAAAAUUGUGCCAUAUGCUGGAAGAGCUGUGCUCCGAGAUGGUACCUCGAGAGCUGAAGAUGUUGAACUAGUUGAUGUUUGGGUAAGAUUCGGGUAUUAUGAAAAUAAUGCCCACAAUCUCAAACACAACUGACAAUGUUACAACUGCAGCAAAUCAGCAGGAAAGACUUGUUUUGUCUGGAUGGAUUGUAGGGUUUGUUGACGGAGAAGGCUAUUUUGGUGUUUCUGUGUGUAGAAAUACAUCAACACGUUAUGGUAAACAAAUAUUACCAGAAUUUGUUGUUACACAGAGCAUUAAAAGUUUGUCAUCUCUCCAACAAAUUCAGAAGUUUUUUAAAUGUGGUCGUAUAUAUGUAAAUCAUCGACAUGAUAAUCAUCAUGAUGAUAUUUAUCGAUAUUGCGUUCGCAAUCUAGAAGAACUUCAUCAGAUAAUUAUUCCUUUUUUUCGAACAUAUGCUUUACAAACUUCAAAACGGAAUGACUUUGAGCUUUUUGAUCAAGUUGUUUCAAGAAUGAUUUGUAAAGUUCACUAUUCAAUUGAAGGAAUGGAUAAU